This is a non-coding RNA of Erythranthe guttata (spotted monkey flower), 502 nucleotides long. The record is from RefSeq and is a predicted model, not a curated record. Lineage: Eukaryota; Viridiplantae; Streptophyta; Magnoliopsida; Lamiales; Phrymaceae.
AGAGAAACAACAGAGGAGAGAAUAGAGUUAGGGUUUUUUUUUUUUUUCAAGAUUAAUUAGGGCUAAAAUUGUAAAUUAAAUAAAAAUGGAGACGAUGAGAUUGUACUUUGUGAUGACAAUCUUUGCCCUUGCUUUGGCCUUCAUACUUCCUUCAAUCAACGGUCAGCCUUCACCUGCCCCUGCCCCUGCCCCUUCAAAUGAUGGGGUAGCAAUUGAUCAAGGAAUAGCAUAUUUGCUAAUGGUGUUUGCUUUGGCUAUUACCUACAUGAUUCAUUGAUAUUUCAUUUUAAUUUGUGCAAUUAAUGUGGGGAUUUGGGAUUAGUAUUAGUAAUUGGAUUGCUCAUUUUUUUAUUAUUAUUCUUGAUUCUUUAUUUAAAAGCUACUACAUUCUUUCUGAAGUUGGAUUGCCUUCUUCUGUAGAUUAUUUAUAUUUCGAUUAUUUGCUUGUCAUCUGUAAAGAUUGAAUUGCCAUUCUUCAUCUACAAAUUGUUGUUCUCCAAAA